GAGUUUGUGACUAGUCUCGCCCGUAAU
Molecule: small RNA, 27 nt
Filed under: Bombyx mori (domestic silkworm)
Lineage: Eukaryota; Metazoa; Arthropoda; Insecta; Lepidoptera; Bombycidae
Description: ovarian small RNA-5196
Source: RNAcentral